This 382-nucleotide ribosomal RNA is filed under the name uncultured bacterium. RNAcentral describes it as "bacterial SSU rRNA". It matches the Rfam family "Bacterial small subunit ribosomal RNA", at positions 28 to 417 of the family's 1533-position model. The record is from RNAcentral.
GACGAACGCUGGCGGCGUGCUUAACACAUGCAAGUGGAGCGACGAACCAGGGCUUGCCCUGGGGCAGAGCCGCGAACGGGUGAGUAACACGUGGGUUACCUACCCCGAUGACCGGGACAACCCGAGGAAACUCGGGCUAAUACCGGAUGUGGUCUUCGGACGAAAGGAAGCUUCGGCCUCCGCAUCGGGAUGGGCCCGCGGCGCAUUAGCUUGUUGGUGGGGUAACGGCCUACCAAGGCGACGAUGCGUAGCUGGUCUGAGAGGACGAUCAGCCACACUGGGACUGAGACACGGCCCAGACUCCUACGGGAGGCAGCAGUGGGGAAUCUUGCGCAAUGGGCGAAAGCCUGACGCAGCGACGCCGCGUGAGGGAUGACGGCCU